RNAcentral lists this long non-coding RNA (994 nucleotides) under Marmota monax (woodchuck). Lineage: Eukaryota; Metazoa; Chordata; Mammalia; Rodentia; Sciuridae. The record is from RNAcentral.
UGACCUGGGUCUCAUUGGCUAGGAGGUGAGGAGGUGGACGACAGGAGCAGCUAGCGCUUGUGCAGGGGAUGGGGGCGGGGAUGGCUGGCAUGGCUUGGCAUGGCUGGCGGGGCUGGGCAGGUGGGGGUGGGGGAGGAGCAAAGUGUGGACAGUGGUGGACCCUCUGGGCCUGCUGAGGGGGUGAGGCGCCAGCAGCUGCCCCAGCGUUUCCAACUUGCAGGAUCGUGCUGGAAAUAAACAGGAAAACGUCGUCACAUGGGGACUCACUCAUCACUAAAUCAAACACAUGUACCACCACACAAAUAUUCCGCGCACGGGCAAGACUCAAAAACUGGAGCACCUGAACUGUGAGGUGGAGACUAGGUAGAGAGAGAGACCCCGAGCCAGUGGCUCUUCUUCUGCAUCCCCUGGAUUGGACUCUGGUGCCCCCACUUUAGAGCUCUAUGCUUUAAGCCUUGGGGUGCUUCAAAGGCCUCCUGGACAUCUAUACGCUCCGGCCUCCCUGCAUUUGAUUAAAACGAAGACAGAAAACAUUAUCAACAUCAAAAGGUGCUCAUCUAAGAAGCUGGGAGUCGCAGGGUGACCAGCUCUCCCAAUUUGUCCAGAACCAGUAGUUUUCUGAGAUUUAGGAUCUUCAGUGCAAACCCCAGGACCGUCCUAGUUGAACUGGGUCACCCUAGUAGUUUGUGUACAAUCCCAGUUGGUAAAAGAUCUAAAGGAAUGUUUAGAAAAGGGGUAAGAAGCAGCCAGCGCUGUGGCAACACCCAAGAUCCCAGUUGCUCAGGAGGCUGAGGCAGGAGGAUCACAAGUUCUAGGCCAGCCUCAGCCACUUAGAGAGGCCCUAAGCAACUUAGUGAGACCCUGCCUCUAAAUAAAAAAAUUGAAGAAGGACUGGGGAUGUGGCUCAGUGGUUGCUGUUGCUGGGUUCAAUCCCCAACACACAAAAGAAGAAAGGCUCUCUGUCCAAAAUGUUAAGCUUGGUUAUCUCUGGGUG